Molecule: long non-coding RNA, 316 nt
Organism: Ipomoea nil (Japanese morning glory)
Lineage: Eukaryota; Viridiplantae; Streptophyta; Magnoliopsida; Solanales; Convolvulaceae
Exons: 2
Source: RefSeq, a predicted model, not a curated record
CAGAAAUAGAAAUAUCUACAAGAAUGGCUUCUAAAGCAUUGACAUUAUUUUUCUUCAUUAUUUGUCUCAUUCAAUAUUGUGGUUUGUUUGAGGCUGAGGCAAGAAAUGUGGUACAUGUGUAUUGCUCCUCCAAUGAAGACUGUCAAAAUAUUUGUCCUUUUCCAGUCGCGAAUGACUUUUGCGACACAAGAACUCGCCUAUGUGUUUGUCAUCUAAAUGCUAGGCUAAAAAAAUCAAAUGGUGAAUAAACCAUUUUCUUAGAUGAAAUAGGAGCCUAUAUCUUCUUAUAAUUUUAAUAAGAGCGUGGUUACACUUU